This 253-nucleotide ribosomal RNA is filed under the name uncultured bacterium. RNAcentral's name for it is "partial 16S ribosomal RNA". It matches the Rfam family "Bacterial small subunit ribosomal RNA", at positions 524 to 776 of the family's 1533-position model. The record is from RNAcentral.
UACGGGGGGAGCAAGCGUUGUUCGGAUUUACUGGGCGUAAAGGGCGCGUAGGCGGCGUGACAAGUCACUUGUGAAAUCUCCGGGCUUAACCCGGAACGGUCAAGUGAUACUGUCGUGCUAGAGUACAGAAGGGGCAACUGGAAUUCUCGGUGUAGCGGUGAAAUGCGUAGAUAUCGAGAGGAACACCUGCGGCGAAGGCGGGUCGCUGGGCUGAUACUGACGCUGAGGCGCGAAAGCCAGGGGAGCGAACGGG